GCCUGUUUUAUCAAAAACAUCGCCUCUUGACAUCUAUAAGAGGUCCAGCCUGCCCAGUGAUAAAUUCAACGGCCGCGGUAUCCUAACCGUGCGAAGGUAGCAUAAUCACUUGUUCCUUAAAUAGGGACUCGUAUCAAUGGCAUCACGAGGGUUACACUGUCUCCUCCCUCCAAUCAGUGAAACUGAUCUCCCCGUGAAGAAGCGGGGAUGAACCAAUAAGACGAGAAGACCCCAUGGAGCUUUAAAUCUCACAGCAACUCUUACAUUUAAUUCCUCACAACCUAUAGAGUAAUGCACGUCGGUUUUAGGUUGGGGUGACCGCGGAGUAAAAAUUACCCUCCACGACGAAAAGAACUAAGCCUUUAUCUAAGAGUAACCUCUCUAAGAAUUAGUAUACUAACGAACAAUGACCCGAUAAUCGAUCAACGGACCAAGUUACCCUGGGGAUAACAGCGCAAUCUACUUCAAGAGCCCGUAUCAACAAGUAGGCUUACGACCUCGAUGUUGGAUCAGGGUAUCCCGGUGGUGCAGCCGCUACUAACGGUUCGUUUGUUCAACGAUUAAAACCCUACGUGAUCUGAGUUCAGACCGGACGUCGUGAUCUGAGUUCAGACCGGAC
Molecule: ribosomal RNA, 619 nt
Filed under: Rhacophorus reinwardtii (Reinwardt's flying frog)
Lineage: Eukaryota; Metazoa; Chordata; Amphibia; Anura; Rhacophoridae
Description: partial large subunit ribosomal RNA
Rfam family: Bacterial large subunit ribosomal RNA
Source: RNAcentral